Long non-coding RNA from Anneissia japonica, 830 nucleotides. RefSeq lists it as uncharacterized. Lineage: Eukaryota; Metazoa; Echinodermata; Crinoidea; Comatulida; Comatulidae. The transcript is spliced from 3 exons. The record is from RefSeq and is a predicted model, not a curated record.
AUUAAAUAGUGCGCCGGCAGACGAGAAAUUGAAUGCCAAGAAGCAUCCCACCAAUCUGGUUGAUUGCAAUGCUUCUGUUGACGAUUCCAUUAAGAAUCAACCAAGGCUUUUAAAUCUAAAUGAUGAAUUCAUUGGCAUGGUAAACUGAACGUUGUAGUUAUGAUGACGCGAGGAGUAGUAUGAAAUAUGCUUACAUUAUCCGCUCUAUAGUACCUUUGGACCUUUAUCGCAUGAAGGUGCAUUUUGACUACGUUGAAGCGAAAUCAUAACUGCGCAUUGGAAUUGAUACGGUAACAAAUAUUAUCAUUUGAAUUAUAUCAGCUGAAAAAAAUCAUACUGGCGACAAAAACUUCUUGAUUUCGCUUGAAGUCUUUCCUUUUAACAUUGUGGAUUGUAAGCUAAAUUUGAAGAUAGGCCUAUUUCACCUCUUCUGGGAUUGGAGUAAGCGCUCGUGAGGCUUUUUCCAUUUAACUUCAACCUGUACCCGUUUUUGAAAAUUUUGCUUUUAUGAGACAACACUGAAAAAUGCUGAAAAUGUUGUGAAGAAAAUAAAGUAGACUUCGUAAACUUGUAUCCUUGAAUAUGAAAGUGCUCUUGUAUAAGACCUACCGUACUAUGAAUCGUCACUGGCCAACGCAACCUAAAACAAUCUUGACUCUACUUCUAAUCGUUGUCACUGCAUCAUUAACAGCGUCAAUUUCCUGUUACGAUUGCGAAUAUAGUUUGAAACUCGGAACCAAUUUCGACUUUGCUGAAGCAAAACCAUGUUUCUUAUUAAAUACGAUUAAAACGAAUACAACUCGAGAAUGUCAAGCUCACGAAAAAUCUUG